GAUGAACGCUGGCGGCGUGCUUAACACAUGCAAGUCGAACGGUGAAGCGGAGCUUGCUCUGUGGAUCAGUGGCGAACGGGUGAGUAACACGUGAGCAACCUGCCCCCGACUCUGGGAUAAGCGCUGGAAACGGCGUCUAAUACUGGAUAUGAGCUGCGACCGCAUGGUCAGCAGUUGGAAAGAUUUUUCGGUCUGGGAUGGGCUCACGGCCUAUCAGCUUGUUGGUGAGGUAAUGGCUCACCAAGGCGUCGACGGGUAGCCGGCCUGAGAGGGUGACCGGCCACACUGGGACUGAGACACGGCCCAGACUCCUACGGGAGGCAGCAGUGGGGAAUAUUGCACAAUGGGCGAAAGCCUGAUGCAGCAACGCCGCGUGAGGGAUGACGGCCUUCGGGUUGUAAACCUCUUUUAGCAGGGAAGAAGCGAAAGUGACGGUACCUGCAGAAAAAGCGCCGGCUAACUACGUG
This 467-nucleotide ribosomal RNA is filed under the name uncultured bacterium. Its description in RNAcentral is "partial 16S ribosomal RNA". It matches the Rfam family "Bacterial small subunit ribosomal RNA", at positions 28 to 507 of the family's 1533-position model. The record is from RNAcentral.